RNAcentral lists this ribosomal RNA (589 nucleotides) under Denitratisoma sp. enrichment culture. RNAcentral's name for it is "bacterial SSU rRNA". It matches the Rfam family "Bacterial small subunit ribosomal RNA", at positions 338 to 918 of the family's 1533-position model. Lineage: Bacteria; Pseudomonadati; Pseudomonadota; Betaproteobacteria; Nitrosomonadales; Sterolibacteriaceae. The record is from RNAcentral.
CCUACGGGAGGCAGCAGUGGGGAAUUUUGGACAAUGGGGGCAACCCUGAUCCAGCCAUGCCGCGUGAGUGAAGAAGGCCUUCGGGUUGUAAAGCUCUUUCGGCCGGGAAGAAAUCGCUCAAGCUAAUACCUUGGGUGGAUGACGGUACCGGAAGAAGAAGCACCGGCUAACUACGUGCCAGCAGCCGCGGUAAUACGUAGGGUGCGAGCGUUAAUCGGAAUUACUGGGCGUAAAGCGUGCGCAGGCGGUUUCGUAAGACAGAUGUGAAAUCCCCGGGCUUAACCUGGGAACUGCGUUUGUGACUGCGAGACUUGAGUGCGGCAGAGGGGGGUGGAAUUCCACGUGUAGCAGUGAAAUGCGUAGAGAUGUGGAGGAACACCGAUGGCGAAGGCAGCCCCCUGGGUCGACACUGACGCUCAUGCACGAAAGCGUGGGGAGCAAACAGGAUUAGAUACCCUGGUAGUCCACGCCCUAAACGAUGCGAACUAGGUGUUGGGGAAGGAGACUUCUUUAGUACCGUAGCUAACGCGUGAAGUUCGCCGCCUGGGGAGUACGGUCGCAAGAUUAAAACUCAAAGGAAUUGACGGGG